RNAcentral lists this ribosomal RNA (446 nucleotides) under uncultured bacterium. RNAcentral's name for it is "partial 16S ribosomal RNA". It matches the Rfam family "Bacterial small subunit ribosomal RNA", at positions 338 to 795 of the family's 1533-position model. The record is from RNAcentral.
CCUACGGGGGGCAGCAGUCGAGAAUCAUUCACAAUGGGGGAAACCCUGAUGGUGCGACGCCGCGUGGGGGAAUGAAGGUCUUCGGAUUGUAAACCCCUGUCAUGUGGGAGCAAAUUAAAAAGAUAGUACCACAAGAGGAAGAGACGGCUAACUCUGUGCCAGCAGCCGCGGUAAUACAGAGGUCUCAAGCGUUGUUCGGAAUCACUGGGCGUAAAGCGUGCGUAGGCUGUUUCGUAAGUCGUGUGUGAAAGGCGCGGGCUCAACCCGCGGACGGCACAUGAUACUGCGAGACUAGAGUAAUGGAGGGGGAACCGGAAUUCUCGGUGUAGCAGUGAAAUGCGGAGAUAUCGAGGGAACCACUCGAGGCGAAGGCGGGUUCCUGGACAUUAACGGACGCGGAGGCACGAAGGCCAGGGGAGCGAAAGGGAUUAGAUACCCGUGUAGUC